Long non-coding RNA from Amblyraja radiata (thorny skate), 110 nucleotides. RefSeq lists it as uncharacterized. The record is from RefSeq and is a predicted model, not a curated record. NCBI's taxonomy places the organism in Eukaryota, Metazoa, Chordata, Chondrichthyes, Rajiformes, Rajidae. The transcript has 3 exons.
ACUUUUGGUACAUUGGUCUUCAUCAGUCAGGAUAUUGAGUAUUUAAGUUGGGAUGUUAAGUAACAGUUGUACAAGAAGUUGAUGAGGCCACACUUUCUGGAUUUUCUGCA